Molecule: non-coding RNA, 72 nt
Organism: Bos taurus (domestic cattle)
Lineage: Eukaryota; Metazoa; Chordata; Mammalia; Artiodactyla; Bovidae
Source: Rfam
UCCCUGGUGUCUCAGACAGUGAAGAAUCUGCCUGCAAUGCGGGAGACCCAGGUUCGAUCCCUGGGUUGGGAA